Non-coding RNA from Amborella trichopoda, 1621 nucleotides. NCBI's taxonomy places the organism in Eukaryota, Viridiplantae, Streptophyta, Magnoliopsida, Amborellales, Amborellaceae. The record is from RefSeq and is a predicted model, not a curated record.
CAGCAGCUGCGCAUCCCUCUCUCUCUAUUUAUGGCAAACCCUUGGGCUUGGCCAUCCUUAUCUCUCCCUUGAAGCCAUUGAAGCCUUCUCAGCCCACACAGAGAGAAACCUCCUCAUCCUACACAAUACAUGCGUGAAUUAUAAGCUCUCAAUCGCUCUCGUCAUUAGUGUCGCAGCCAGGGACCUCUCUCGAUCGGUUUCAGGUUUCACCUUCCCUAAACAAAGGAAAUUGCCUCCUCCUUUCCAUCAGUGUUCGCAAUAUUAUCCCUAAUUCAGGUCUUCUAUUCUACCACUUUUCUCAUAUGCUCUGUAAUCGUUCUUUAUCAAAGGACAAAUAUAUCUGAAAACUAAAAUUUAGUUCUAAUGUUUUUACGUUCUUGUGUGGGGAAAAUAAUUGAAAAUAUUUUGGCCUGUACUACACAUCUGAAUUCUGUGAACAUGGGACAUGUUCUUUGUUAGUUCUAAAAUAUAUCCAUGGGUGACAUGACGUGCCUAUUACCAUUUUUUUGGGAUGGUUUGCUUUCUCUCUCAUGCAUUAGUUUAUUUAUUUGAUAUUCAGAAAUGUGAUGAAAGCUUGACAAUGCUUAUUUUUCCAUUUGAUUAUUAGUUCUCAUUUCUCCAAUCAUUAUUUCAUGAGCUUUUGGUACUGCUGUUCUCGUUCUUGCAUUAAGAUUUAGAUUUAAGAAAAUGGUAACUAUUUUUGGUGUAACAUGUUUGCUAUCAUGAUUCAAAAAUAUGAGAAGAAAAAGAAGUGAUAAGUGGGCUUGUGCUUUACAUUUUGCAUCUUGAUUCAUUUGUAGGCGGAAGGAUGGGUCAGGAAUAUGAGUGUAUCGGAUGCCGAUGACUCAUCGUUUCCUGAUGUUGAAAGUCGUAGAACCAGUGAAGUAAUUUAUGCUACAAGAUUAAAUUACUUACUAAAUUCUUUCCUUCCCAAUUUCUUUUUUGCUAUUGUCAACAUCCUUACUAUUCCAUUCAUGAAGUAGACGUCUUGAUUUCUCAUACCACUCCAUUGAUGUUGGUUUUUUUUACUUUGGAAAUAUUUCUCCCAUCUUCACGCCCUACUUUUCCUAUCUGUCAUUUCUUUUGGGUUUUGUUUUAUUGUAACAGUUCUAGACUAACUGAAUAUUUCACCAAAGAUGAUUGGGAUGAGGAAGCUUUAGAAAGCAGAAGCAAUGCGAUUUGUAAGAAAAGCACAGGGGUUUGAACUGAGUUUUUGCAGGGAAGGAACUUAAGUGGGAAAAAGAGGAAGAGAAGAUGAGUAGAAAGCCCUGGCUGCUGGUUAGAAUGUGAAGCUGGCUGACUUUAGUUGUAAAGUGAGAGAGAGGGAGAGAUCAUGUAUGUCUAAUAGCUUAGCAAAUUUGUACUCCUUUUCAAAUUUUUACAGUUACACAUCAUGAUUAUCAAAUUUUUAAUGUUUGCUUGAAUGAGUAGUGGAGCAGACCAAGGUGUGUUGUACUUUACUCCUAAAGGGUACAAAGAAUUGUGCAUCUCUUUUUAUUACAAUGUACAACAACUACUAUUUUGUGCUUCCGGUGCUAUGUGCUAUUUAUGGCACUUAUUUCUUUUUCUUUUCUUUUUUAAAUUGUGGUAUGUACCGUAAAUACGUAAAGAAGGGUGUUGU